Molecule: ribosomal RNA, 496 nt
Filed under: uncultured bacterium
Lineage: Bacteria
Description: partial 16S ribosomal RNA
Rfam family: Bacterial small subunit ribosomal RNA
Source: RNAcentral
AUGCACGCUGGCGGCGUGCCUAAUACCUGCAAGUCGAGCGAACAGACGAGGAGCUUGCUCCUCUGACGUUAGCGGCGGACGGGUGAGUAACACGUGGAUAACCUACCUAUAAGACUGGGAUAACUUCGGGAAACCGGAGCUAAUACCGGAUAAUAUAUUGAACCGCAUGGUUCAAUAGUGAAAGACGGUUUUGCUGUCACUUAUAGAUGGAUCCGCGCCGCAUUAGCUAGUUGGUAAGGUAACGGCUUACCAAGGCAACGAUGCGUAGCCGACCUGAGAGGGUGAUCGGCCACACUGGAACUGAGACACGGUCCAGACUCCUACGGGAGGCAGCAGUAGGGAAUCUUCCGCAAUGGGCGAAAGCCUGACGGAGCAACGCCGCGUGAGUGAUGAAGGUCUUCGGAUCGUAAAACUCUGUUAUUAGGGAAGAACAAAUGUGUAAGUAACUAUGCACGUCUUGACCGUACCUAAUCAGAAAGCCACGGCUAACUACGUG